CCAUUGAUGGGCAUGGGGGAACGGUGCGGUGUUGACACUAUUCAUUUUACUAUAUAAACCAUCAUUGACGCGCCAGCUCCUUAUUACCCAGGAACACAGUCUGCAAUAGCAAAAUACUGUUCAGUUCGCAGCUUUAACGCUCCGACAUGGCUGUCGCUCGUCUCCUCUUUCUGCUGGCCGUGCUGGCCAGUAUGAUGGUCUUCCAGCUGGUAUCCGGUCAGUACUACGGCAGCUACUAUCCGUACACCUACAGCUACGGCUACUAUCCCUACAGCAGCUACUCGGCCUACACCUACCCCUACUACAACUACUACAGCUACUACCCGUACGCGGGACGAUAGACGGUCGGACGCCAUGGAACAACGUGGAGAACCGACGAUUAAUGUAUAUAUUCAAGCCUGAUUUAUGCACGUACAUCAGACUAUCGCUGCCAUAGGGGCGUGUAAGAAAACGCUAAAGGUCACUUAUGCUACUGCCGUAAAUUACACAUGUGUAUCGCGGGUUUAUAGCGGUGUAGUGUGCCAUGGUCUACGUACUGCGUACGUGCGUUUUAAUGUCGUUGUGUUUUAUAAACGCCAGCAAAUUAACGGCCGAUAUACCGUUCCUGUAUACGAAUAAAGUAAUCAUACCGUGA
This is a long non-coding RNA of Paramacrobiotus metropolitanus, 634 nucleotides long. RefSeq lists it as uncharacterized. The transcript is spliced from 2 exons. The record is from RefSeq and is a predicted model, not a curated record. Lineage: Eukaryota; Metazoa; Tardigrada; Eutardigrada; Parachela; Macrobiotidae.